AGAGUUUGAUCCUGGCUCAGGAUGAACGCUGGCGGCGUGCUUAACACAUGCAAGUCGAGCGCACCUUCGGGUGAGUGGCGGACGGGUGAGUAACGCGUGGGAAUCUGCCCUCAGGAGGGGGAUAACGGCUGGAAACGGCCGCUAAUACCCCAUAUGCCGAGAGGUGAAAUGAAUUUCGCCUGAGGAUGAGCCCGCGUCUGAUUAGCUAGUUGGUGGGGUAAUGGCCCACCAAGGCGACGAUCAGUAGCUGGUCUGAGAGGAUGAUCAGCCACACUGGGACUGAGACACGGCCCAGACUCCUACGGGAGGCAGCAGUGGGGAAUUUUCCGCAAUGGGCGAAAGCCUGACGGAGCAACGCCGCGUGAGGGAUGAAGGCCCCUGGGCUGUAAACCUCUUUUCUCAAGGAAGAAGACAUGACGGUACUUGAGGAAUAAGCCACGGCUAAUUCCGUGCCAGCAGCCGCGGUAAUACGGGAGUGGCAAGCGUUAUCCGGAAUUAUUGGGCGUAAAGCGUCCGCAGGCGGCCUUGUAAGUCUGUCGUUAAAGCGUGGAGCUUAACUCCAUUUAAGCGAUGGAAACUACAAGGCUUGAGUGUGGUAGGGGCAGAGGGAAUUCCCGGUGUAGCGGUGAAAUGCGUAGAUAUCGGGAAGAACACCAGUGGCGAAGGCGCUCUGCUGGGCCAUAACUGACGCUCAUGGACGAAAGCCAGGGGAGCGAAAGGGAUUAGAUACCCCUGUAGUCCUGGCCGUAAACGAUGAACACUAGGUGUCGGGGGAAUCGACCCCCUCGGUGUCGUAGCUAACGCGUUAAGUGUUCCGCCUGGGGAGUACGCACGCAAGUGUGAAACUCAAAGGAAUUGACGGGGGCCCGCACAAGCGGUGGAGUAUGUGGUUUAAUACGAUGCAACGCGAAGAACCUUACCAGGGUUUGACAUCCUGCGAAUCCCUUGGAAACUUGGGAGUGCCUUCGGGAGCGCAGAGACAGGUGGUGCAUGGCUGUCGUCAGCUCGUGUCGUGAGAUGUUGGGUUAAGUCCCGCAACGAGCGCAACCCACGUCUUUAGUUGCCAGCAUUCAGUUGGGCACUCUAGAGAGACCGCCGGUGAUAAACCGGAGGAAGGUGUGGAUGACGUCAAGUCAUCAUGCCCCUUACAUCCUGGGCUACACACGUACUACAAUGCUACGGACAAAGGGCAGCAAGCUCGCGAGAGUUAGCAAAUCCCAUAAACCGUGGCUCAGUUCAGAUCGUAGGCUGCAACUCGCCUACGUGAAGGAGGAAUCGCUAGUAAUCGCAGGUCAGCAUACUGCGGUGAAUACGUUCCCGGGCCUUGUACACACCGCCCGUCACACCAUGGAAGUUGGCCAUGCCCGAAGUCGUUACUCCAACCCUUGUGGAGGAGGACGCCGAAGGUGGGGCUGAUGACUGGGGUGAAGUCGAACAAGGUA
This 1442-nucleotide ribosomal RNA is filed under the name metagenome. RNAcentral describes it as "bacterial SSU rRNA". It matches the Rfam family "Bacterial small subunit ribosomal RNA". The record is from RNAcentral.